RNAcentral lists this long non-coding RNA (648 nucleotides) under Homo sapiens (human). Its description in RNAcentral is "HSALNT0368062". Lineage: Eukaryota; Metazoa; Chordata; Mammalia; Primates; Hominidae. The record is from RNAcentral.
AGAUGUUCCCAGGACGCGAGCUAAGUCUGCCCGGCCGGCGCGCGCCGCUUCCGCUUUGGUGGGAAGGACCUCCCUUCCCCCUUAUAGAAACACUUUCUCCAGGCCGGGCCGGGCUUGGUAAACCUCAGCCGUGCCUGGGUAGAGGACGCCGGGCUGGGCCGAGCGGGGGUGGAAUGAGGGCGUCUAGAACAGAGAAAACUAAGAUGGGGUCGUCCCCCCAGUAAUCUGGAAAACAGUUACAGCAACAGGCUCCUCUCAUCAGACGGCAGUGCUGGUCGUUUCCUCACUGGUUUGCGGGGAAGGCUGGGCAGAAAAAGGAUGCAACCUUGUUCUCAACCACUUGCUAUCUCGUGAUUCAGGGAUUGGAUGAGUCUCUAUGGUUUGUUUUGCCCUGAAGAGCAGAAGGCUUCUGUCCCAACUGGUGUUGCCAAAGCAACAUAUUAAUUCCAUGCCAUGAUCCUGGGUCAAGAUCUGCACAAUCUGAUUGGGCAUGUCACCUCGGAUGGCAAGGGAGUGGAAGUGGUCAAAAUCAUGGAGUCCCAGCUUUCGGAGACGCCUUGCAGCUGCCCGGUGAAGAAAAUGCACAAUGGAAACCACCCAGAUGUCCAGUGAUAGUGGCAUGGACAAAUAAAUGUGGUAUAAUCAUGA